Molecule: ribosomal RNA, 590 nt
Filed under: uncultured bacterium
Lineage: Bacteria
Description: bacterial SSU rRNA
Rfam family: Bacterial small subunit ribosomal RNA
Source: RNAcentral
ACGGGUGAGUAACACGUAGGUAACCUGCCUAUGAGACUGGGAUAACUAUCGGAAACGAUAGCUAAGACCGGAUAACUGGUUUUCUCGCAUGAGAGAAUCAUGAAACACGGAGCAAUCUGUGGCUUAUAGAUGGGCCUGCGGCGCAUUAGCUAGUUGGUAGGGUAAUGGCCUACCAAGGCGACGAUGCGUAGCCGACCUGAGAGGGUGACCGGCCACACUGGGACUGAGACACGGCCCAGACUCCUACGGGAGGCAGCAGUAGGGAAUCUUCCGCAAUGGACGCAAGUCUGACGGAGCAACGCCGCGUGAGUGAUGAAGGUUUUCGGAUCGUAAAGCUCUGUUGCCCUAGACGAACAGCAAGGAGAGUAACUGCUCUUUGUGUGACGGUAUAGGAGAAGAAAGCCCCGGCUAACUACGUGCCAGCAGCCGCGGUAAUACGUAGGGGGCAAGCGUUGUCCGGAAUUAUUGGGCGUAAAGCGCGCGCAGGCGGUCAAUUAAGUUGGGUGUUUAAGCCCGGGGCUCAACCCCGGUUCGCAUCCAAAACUGGUUGACUUGAGUGUAGGAGAGGAAAGUGGAAUUCCACGUGUAGC